CACCAAUCCUUAACUCAUUGAUCAAAAAAAGAAAAAAGAAGAAGAAGAAGAAGAAGAAGAAGAAGAAAGAGAUGAAGAAUUAAAGUGCAUUAAAUGAAAUGGAAUGAGAUAAUCAACAAGCUAUGAUCGAAGAUAGAGAAGAUCAAGAUCAAACAAUAUAAAACAGUAGCAAAAUGAGAAAUUAGAAGUCAAGAAACAAAUAAAAUAUUUUUGGCAUUUUAAUAUUUAAAAUAAAACUUGAAUUAAAAUAAUAAAGAAAGGUCAAACUUCAAACU
Molecule: long non-coding RNA, 275 nt
Filed under: Lathyrus oleraceus (garden pea)
Lineage: Eukaryota; Viridiplantae; Streptophyta; Magnoliopsida; Fabales; Fabaceae
Description: Pisum sativum (pea) long non-coding RNA (PSAT_LNC026901)
Source: RNAcentral